GUCACAACUGCCAGCCUGACUCCACGGUCAGCCAAGCCAAGCAGGGCAGUGGACACUCCGGGGUUCUGCAUUCCCUCUGGAUUAUUCAUGAGUGCAUACCAUCCCCUCUGACAGUCACAGGCACUUCUGCUUACAUCCUCAUGCAUGAUUUUGUCAGAACAGAACAAACAUCUCUGGGCUGACAGUGAAGAUGAAGUGAGGUCAUGAGAACUAACACUCAUUGAGGGCCCAGAACAGAGCCUGUGUGACUGCUAGAGCAUUUAAACUUACAUAUAUGGCUCAUAUCAUGUUUCUAUUGGACAGCGUGUGAUGUAUGUCUGGAAAAGAUUGCACGGGCUGCUGGCGAAUGGAUUGUGGCCUAGAUACAGAAGAGGACACUGCUGGAGAGAUGCCUGUUUUACAACAAAAUCUUCAAGCCCCCUCUGAUGCCAGUGCCCUCUGGCCUCAUGGGUUGAUCAGACCUUAACUUGGUGCCUUUCAGUUGGGCCUGGGAAGCUUCCUUCCAUUUUAGUAUCUUCUAAGACCUCUGAAGUCUGGGGAAACUACUGAAGGAUGCUAUCCCACAAGAUGAGAGCAUAAUCAAAGAAAGAAAUCCCAAGAAAUGGGAUAAGAAGAAAGAGAGAGGUGAGGGAGAUUCACAGAGUGGUGAUAAAGGGAAGUUCCAAGAUGACCGCUCUGCAGCAAGCUUAGAAGGUAACCAACCCCAACCAGUGUGAGGACCAGGACUAAGAGCUCCAGAAGUGAUGUUGGCAUCUGGGGGCAGAAUGCAACUGAUAAACUAUGUGGUGUGACUUACCAUGUUGAAUGAAGUUUUAGAGAGAAAAAAAAAUUUAGACUUGAAUGAAUAAUAG
Molecule: long non-coding RNA, 851 nt
Organism: Mesoplodon densirostris (Blainville's beaked whale)
Lineage: Eukaryota; Metazoa; Chordata; Mammalia; Artiodactyla; Ziphiidae
Exons: 5
Source: RefSeq, a predicted model, not a curated record